Molecule: non-coding RNA, 46 nt
Filed under: Trichobilharzia regenti
Lineage: Eukaryota; Metazoa; Platyhelminthes; Trematoda; Strigeidida; Schistosomatidae
Source: RNAcentral
GUACUGAUGAAGAGUCCCAAACUAGGACGAAACAGUUCUCCAGUAC